AUGGCGAUGUAUAUGGAAGUGAGAAUUUAUUUAUAUUUUACAGAUAUCGGGAAAUGUGUCGAAGUUAAACAAAACCAUUCAUCUUUACUUGUGAGAGUCGGCGACACUGUAACACUCCAUUGUGAACAUGAUGGUGGGGUUAGCUAUCCUAACAUAUACUGGUAUCAGCAACCAAAUGAAGUAGCGGCUUUAAACCUAAUUGCAUAUCUCAACUACGCCAAUGCUUACUAUGAGCACAAUCCUGAAAGAAAAUUCAAAUUGACAGGAGAUGGGAGUAAAGAAGGACACCUGGAGAUUUCAAAAUUGAAAGCCGAAGACAGCGCAAAGUAUUAUUGCGCAGCAAGUAACCACACUGCGACAAAGUGCGCCAGGGAUCUGCUCAAAACCAACACGGUGAAACAACCAGGUUAA
This is a non-coding RNA of Polypterus senegalus (gray bichir), 411 nucleotides long. The record is from the annotation of a RefSeq genome assembly. NCBI's taxonomy places the organism in Eukaryota, Metazoa, Chordata, Cladistia, Polypteriformes, Polypteridae.